Non-coding RNA from Filobasidium floriforme, 90 nucleotides. The record is from the annotation of a RefSeq genome assembly. Lineage: Eukaryota; Fungi; Basidiomycota; Tremellomycetes; Filobasidiales; Filobasidiaceae.
CGAGCUGUAGUGUAGUUGGUUAUCACUUUCGGUUUUGAUUGAGUUCAAUAACAUCUCCGAACGACUCCGGUUCGAAUCCGGGCAGCUCGU